CAGGGAGACAACAAAAUGUUUAAUAUUAUUAUUUUGUCACCUUAGGUCGAUCGGUAUCUCACGUUUUUAAUUUAUUAAAAAUUUCAUUUCCUAAGUUUUUCUAGGUCACACCCAUUAUUUUUCCUGGGCCAUUAGCUCAGGUGGUUAGAGCGCACCCCUGAUAAGGGUGAGGUCCCUGGUUCAAGUCCAGGAUGGCCCAUAUCUCUAUGUUGGGGGUAUAGCUCAGUUGGUAGAGCGCCUGCUUUGCAAGCAGGAUGUCAGCGGUUCGAGUCCGCUUACCUCCACUGAUUACCACCUCUUCCAUAAACGGUAGAAAGGAAAUGUUUUGAGUUGUGAUCAAAUUCUGAAAGAAUCUAGCUUCCUAAUGAAAUCAUUAAGAUGCUGGACUCAUUGAAUUAAUUUCAUUGUUUUCAGAGAACCUUGACAACUGCAUAGAUUAUUUUUAAAGACAAUAAGCAUCUUUAAUGAUGCAGAUUUAUUAUUUGUGCGAAUGCAUUAAUAACAAUUCUAUUAAGCUGAUGCUUCAAUUUUUGAAGUUAUU
This 541-nucleotide transfer RNA is filed under the name uncultured cyanobacterium. RNAcentral's name for it is "partial 16S-23S ribosomal RNA intergenic spacer". The stretch from base 212 to 284 matches the Rfam family "tRNA". The record is from RNAcentral. Lineage: Bacteria; Bacillati; Cyanobacteriota.